Molecule: ribosomal RNA, 252 nt
Filed under: uncultured bacterium
Lineage: Bacteria
Description: partial 16S ribosomal RNA
Rfam family: Bacterial small subunit ribosomal RNA
Source: RNAcentral
UACGUAGGUCCCGAGCGUUGUCCGGAUUUAUUGGGCGUAAAGCGAGCGCAGGUGGUUUAUUAAGUCUGGUGUAAAAGGCAGUGGCUCAACCAUUGUAUGCAUUGGAAACUGGUAGGCUUGAGUGCAGGAGAGGAGAGUGGAAUUCCAUGUGUAGCGGUGAAAUGCGUAGAUAUAUGGAGGAACACCGGUGGCGAAAGCGGCUCUCUGGCCUGUAACUGACACUGAGGCUCGAAAGCGCGGGGAGCAAACAGG